GAUGAAGAACGUAGCGAAAUGCGAUAAGUAAUGUGAAUUGCAGAAUUCAGUGAAUCAUCGAAUCUUUGAACGCACAUUGCGCCCGCCAGCAUUCUGGCGGGCAUGCCUGUUCGAGCGUCAUUUCAACCCUCGAGCCCCCCCGGGGGCCUCGGUGUUGGGGGACGGCACACCAGCCGCCCCCGAAAUGCAGUGGCGACCCCGCCGCAGCCUCCCCUGCGUAGUAGCACACACCUCGCACCGGAGCGCGGAGGCGGUCACGCCGUAAAACGCCCAACUUUCUUAGAGUUGACCUCGGAUCAGGUAGGGAUACCCGCUGAACUUAAGCAUAUCAUAAGCGGAGGA
Molecule: unclassified non-coding RNA, 342 nt
Filed under: soil metagenome
Description: partial contains 5.8S ribosomal RNA, internal transcribed spacer 2, and large subunit ribosomal RNA
Rfam family: 5.8S ribosomal RNA (bases 1-120)
Source: RNAcentral